Molecule: ribosomal RNA, 468 nt
Filed under: uncultured bacterium
Lineage: Bacteria
Description: partial 16S ribosomal RNA
Rfam family: Bacterial small subunit ribosomal RNA
Source: RNAcentral
GAUGAACGCUGGCGGCGUGCUUAACACAUGCAAGUCGAACGGAAAGGCCCAAGCUUGCUUGGGUCCUCGAGUGGCGAACGGGUGAGUAACACGUGGGUGAUCUGCCCUGCACUUCGGGAUAAGCCUGGGAAACUGGGUCUAAUACCGGAUAGGACGAUGGUUUGGAUGCCAUUGUGGAAAGUUUUUUCGGUGUGGGAUGAGCUCGCGGCCUAUCAGCUUGUUGGUGGGGUAAUGGCCUACCAAGGCGUCGACGGGUAGCCGGCCUGAGAGGGUGUACGGCCACAUUGGGCCUGAGAUACGGCCCAGACUCCUACGGGAGGCAGCAGUGGGGAAUAUUGCACAAUGGGCGCAAGCCUGAUGCAGCGACGCCGCGUGGGGGAUGACGGCCUUCGGGUUGUAAACUCCUUUCGCUAGGGACGAAGCGUUUUUGUGACGGUACCUGGAGAAGAAGCACCGGCUAACUACGUG